Molecule: non-coding RNA, 102 nt
Organism: Acanthosepion pharaonis
Lineage: Eukaryota; Metazoa; Mollusca; Cephalopoda; Sepiida; Sepiidae
Source: the annotation of a GenBank genome assembly
AAUAUCGCGUUGAAAUACCGGUUCUGAUCAUCGAAGUUAAGAUACGUCAAGACUGCUCAGUACUUAGAUGGGUGACCACUUGGAAAUACCAGGUGCUGUAAG